GCCUUCGUGGUGUAACGGUAGCACGCUGGACCAGUAUUCCAGGGGUCCGUGGUUCGAUUCCCGGCGAAGGCG
Molecule: transfer RNA, 72 nt
Filed under: Stegodyphus dumicola
Lineage: Eukaryota; Metazoa; Arthropoda; Arachnida; Araneae; Eresidae
Description: tRNA-Thr
Rfam family: tRNA
About the family: Transfer RNA (tRNA) molecules are approximately 80 nucleotides in length. Their secondary structure includes four short double-helical elements and three loops (D, anti-codon, and T loops).
Source: RNAcentral